GUGAGGAAUAUUGGUCAAUGGGCGCAAGCCUGAACCAGCCAUCCCGCGUGCAGGAAGACGGCGCUAUGCGUUGUAAACUGCUUUUCCAGGGAGAGAAACUUGCGCACGUGUUGCGCAAUUGACGGUACCCUGGGAAUAAGCAUCGGCUAACUCCGUGCCAGCAGCCGCGGUAAUACGGAGGAUGCGAGCGUUAUCCGGAUGCAUUGGGUUUAAAGGGUGCGUAGGCGGACUAUUAAGUCAGUGGUGAAAUCCUGCAGCUUAACUGCAGAACUGCCAUUGAUACUGAUAGUCUUGAGUUUGGUUAAGGUAGGCGGAAUGUGUAAUGUAGCGGUGAAAUGCUUAGAUAUUACACAGAACACCAAUUGCGUAGGCAGCUUACUGAGCCGACACUGACGCUGAGGCACGAAAGCGUGGGGAUCGAACAGGAUUAGAAACCCCGGUAGUCC
RNAcentral lists this ribosomal RNA (446 nucleotides) under uncultured bacterium. RNAcentral describes it as "partial 16S ribosomal RNA". It matches the Rfam family "Bacterial small subunit ribosomal RNA", at positions 354 to 796 of the family's 1533-position model. The record is from RNAcentral.